RNAcentral lists this small RNA (72 nucleotides) under Arabidopsis thaliana (thale cress). RNAcentral describes it as "ATSL277430". The record is from RNAcentral. Lineage: Eukaryota; Viridiplantae; Streptophyta; Magnoliopsida; Brassicales; Brassicaceae.
GGUUUCUUAAUUUUGUCACCUGUUGGUUCUACUCGACCCAAUGAUCGAGUAGGGCUCUUAAGUUCUUAUUUU